GUGCCAGCAGCCGCGGUAAUACGUAGGUCCCGAGCGUUGUCCGGAUUUAUUGGGCGUAAAGGGAGCGCAGGCGGUCAGGAAAGUCUGGAGUAAAAGGCUAUGGCUCAACCAUAGUGUGCUCUGGAAACUGUCUGACUUGAGUGCAGAAGGGGAGAGUGGAAUUCCAUGUGUAGCGGUGAAAUGCGUAGAUAUAUGGAGGAACACCAGUGGCGAAAGCGGCUCUCUGGUCUGUCACUGACGCUGAGGCUCGAAAGCGUGGGUAG
This 263-nucleotide ribosomal RNA is filed under the name uncultured Streptococcaceae bacterium. RNAcentral's name for it is "partial 16S ribosomal RNA". It matches the Rfam family "Bacterial small subunit ribosomal RNA", at positions 505 to 768 of the family's 1533-position model. The record is from RNAcentral. Lineage: Bacteria; Bacillati; Bacillota; Bacilli; Lactobacillales; Streptococcaceae.